AACGAACGCUGGCGGCAUGCCUAACACAUGCAAGUCGAACGAGAUCCUUCGGGGUCUAGUGGCGCACGGGUGCGUAACGCGUGGGAAUCUGCCCUUAGGUUCGGAAUAACAGUUAGAAAUGACUGCUAAUACCGGAUGAUGACGUUAAGUCCAAAGAUUUAUCGCCUGAGGAUGAGCCCGCGUAGGAUUAGCUAGUUGGUGUGGUAAAGGCGCACCAAGGCGACGAUCCUUAGCUGGUCUGAGAGGAUGAUCAGCCACACUGGGACUGAGACACGGCCCAGACUCCUACGGGAAGCAGCAGUGGGGAAUAUUGGACAAUGGGCGCAAGCCUGAUCCAGCAAUGCCGCGUGAGUGAUGAAGGCCUUAGGGUUGUAAAGCUCUUUUACCCGAGAUGAUAAUGACAGUAUCGGGAGAAUAAGCCCCGGCUAACUCCGUG
Molecule: ribosomal RNA, 436 nt
Filed under: uncultured bacterium
Lineage: Bacteria
Description: partial 16S ribosomal RNA
Rfam family: Bacterial small subunit ribosomal RNA
Source: RNAcentral